This is a non-coding RNA of Manis javanica (Malayan pangolin), 7238 nucleotides long. Lineage: Eukaryota; Metazoa; Chordata; Mammalia; Pholidota; Manidae. The record is from RefSeq and is a predicted model, not a curated record.
UGCUCUUCUUAGUUCAGUCACUCGGUGCGCGAUGUGUUACUCACUGUGCGGCGGGGACCGCGGCGAGCCCGGGUCGCCGUUGGCAGCAGGAGCCCCGGCAGCGGCGCGGACCCCGAGUGCCUGGGCGCAGCCCGGCGCCCCGCAACGCGGCGCGGGGGCAGGACCAGUGCGGCCGCGCGCGCCUUAGGCUCGGCCCCGCGGCUCGGAGACCCCGACUCUCGGCCCAGCCAGCAAGUCCCCAGGCGCCGCCCGGGAGCCCGGGAGGCAGAGGCCGCGGGCGGCCGGGCAUCCUCUCGGGCCGCGGAGGGCGCUGCGCCACCGCGCGCUGCCGGGCGCCCCGCUCCCCGGCCUCCGAACCUUCCCGGCUCCGGGCCCGAGGGACGCGGGCUCCGGCGGGCGAGCGCGGGGAGAGGGAGCCCCGCCCGCGCCCUCGCUCCCCAGCCUCUCCGAGCCGAGCCGGGCCGGGGCUGCGGCCUGAAGCUCCCGCGAUGGCGAGCCCGCCGCGGCAUGCGCUCCCCGCGCCGGCGGGCGGCGACGGCCCCAACCUCAAUAACAACAACAAUAACCAGAGCGUGCGCAAGUGCGGCUACCUGCGCAAGCAGAAGCACGGCCACAAGCGCUUCUUCGUGCUGCGCGGGCCCGGCGCGGGCGGAGACGAGGCGGCGGGCGGGGGGCCGGCGCUGCAGCCGCCGCGGCUCGAGUACUACGAGAGCGAGAAGAAGUGGCGGAGCAAGGCGGGCGCCCCAAAGCGGGUCAUCGCGCUCGACUGCUGCCUGAACAUCAACAAGCGCGCCGACGCCAAGCACAAGUACCUGAUCGCCCUCUACACCAAGGACGAGUACUUCGCCGUGGCGGCCGAGAACGAGCAGGAGCAGGAGGGCUGGUACCGCGCGCUCACCGACCUGGUCAGCGAGGGCCGCGCGGCUGCCGGCGACGCGCCCCCCGCCGCCGCCACCGCCGCGUCCUGCAGCGCCUCCCUGCCCGGCGCCCUGAGCGGCUCGGCAGGCGCCGCCGCGGCCGAUGACAGCUACGGGCUGGUGGCGCCCGCCACGGCUGCCUACCGCGAGGUGUGGCAGGUGAACCUGAAGCCCAAGGGCCUGGGCCAGAGCAAGAACCUGACGGGCGUGUACCGGCUGUGCCUGUCGGCGCGCACCAUCGGUUUCGUGAAGCUCAACUGUGAGCAGCCGUCGGUGACGCUGCAGCUCAUGAAUAUCCGCCGCUGCGGCCACUCGGACAGCUUCUUCUUCAUCGAGGUGGGCCGCUCAGCCGUUACGGGCCCCGGCGAGCUGUGGAUGCAGGCCGACGACUCGGUGGUGGCUCAGAAUAUACACGAGACCAUCCUGGAGGCCAUGAAGGCUCUCAAGGAGCUCUUCGAGUUCCGGCCGCGCAGCAAGAGCCAGUCGUCCGGGUCGUCUGCCACGCACCCCAUCAGCGUCCCGGGCGCGCGCCGCCACCACCACCUGGUCAACUUGCCCCCCAGCCAAACGGGCCUGGUGCGCCGCUCACGCACGGACAGCCUGGCCGCUACCCCGCCGGCCGCCAAGUGCAGUUCGUGCCGGGUGCGCACGGCCAGCGAGGGCGAUGGCGGCGCGGCGGCGGGAGCCGGGGCGGCGGGCGGCAGGCCGGUGUCGGUGGCCGGGAGCCCCCUGAGCCCGGGGCCGGUGCGCGCGCCCCUGAGCCGCUCGCACACACUGAGCGGUGGCUGCGGCGGCCGCGGGAGCAAGGUGCCGCUGGCGCCGGCAGGGGGCGCCCUGCAACACAGUCGCUCCAUGUCCAUGCCCGUGGCGCACUCGCCGCCGGCCGCCACCAGCCCCAGCAGCCUGUCGUCCAGCAGUGGGCAUGGCUCGGGCUCCUACCCGCCGCCUCCGGGCCCGCACCCGCACCUGCAGCAUCCGCUGCAUCAUCCCAUGAGCCAGCGGCCCUCCAGCGGUAGCGCCUCGGCCUCGGGCUCCCCCAGCGACCCCGGGUUCAUGUCCCUGGACGAGUACGGCUCCAGCCCUGGGGACCUGAGGGCCUUCUGCAGCCACAGAAGCAACACGCCCGAGUCCAUUGCCGAGACUCCCCCUGCCAGGGACGGCGGCGGGGGCGAGCUGUACGGGUACAUGACCAUGGACAGGCCCCUGAGCCACUGUGGCCGCCCCUACCGCAGAGUCUCAGGGGAGGGGGCCCAGGACUUGGACAGAGGGCUGAGGAAGAGGACUUACUCGCUGACCACACCUGCCCGGCAGCGGCCAGCGCCCCAGCCCUCCUCCGCGUCCCUGGAUGAGUACACCCUGAUGAGGGCCACCUUCUCCGGCAGCUCGGGCCGCCUUUGCCCGUCCUGCCCCGCCUCCUCCCCCAAAGUGGCCUACCACCCUUACCCCGAGGACUACGGCGACAUCGAGAUCGGGUCCCGCAGGAGCUCCAGCAGUAACCUGGGCACAGACGAUGGCUACAUGCCCAUGAGCCCUGGCGCGGCCCUCCUGGGUGGAGGCAGUGUCAGCUGCAGGGGUGACGACUACAUGCCAAUGAGCCCCACCAGCGUGUCGGCCCCGAAGCAGAUCCUGCAGCCGCGCGCUGCUGGAACGGCCUUGCCCCCCACGGCAGCUGCAGUGCCCGCGCCCGCCUCUGCAGCUGGCAGGGCCUUUCCGGUGAGCGGGGGCAGCUUCAAGGCCAGCUCCCCGGCCGAGAGCUCCCCGGAGGACAGCGGGUACAUGCGCAUGUGGUGUGGUUCCAAGCUGUCGGUGGAGAACACUGACAGCAAGCUGCUUCCCAACGGGGACUACCUCAACAUGUCCCCCAGCGACGCAGGCACCUCGGGAACCCCACCCGACUUCUUCUCAGCCGCCCUGCACGGUGGGGGAGAGAUGCUCAGGGGCGUCCCCGGCUACUGUUACAGCUCCUUGCCCCGUUCCUACAAGGCUCCCUACACCUGCAAUGGGGACACGGACCAGUAUGUGCUCAUGAGCUCCCCCGUGGGGCGCAUCCUGGAAGAGGAGAGGCUGGAGCCGCCGACCAGCCCGGGGACCUCGCAGGCGGCCAGCGCCUUAGUGGCCGGGGCUGGUGGGGGUGGGCACCCCCAGGCCCCCCACCCAGUAGUGCCUUCGCCCGGGAGGCCCAGCGGCAGCGUCCGCCCGGAGGCCUUCCUGAACCAGCGCUGCCGGGCGAUGCGGCCCACGCGCCUGUCCCUGGAGGGGCUGCAGACCCUGCCCAGCAUGCACGAGUACCCUCUGCCGCCCGAGCCCAAGAGCCCCGGCGAGUACAUCAACAUUGACUUCGGCGAGGCGGGGGCGCACCUGUCGCCGCCUGCCCCUCCGCUGCUGGCUUCGGCGGCCUCGUCCUCGUCGCUGCUGUCUGCCAGCAGCCCGGCCUCGUCCCUGGGCUCGGGCACCCCGGGAACGAGCAGCGACAGCAGGCAGCGCUCCCCGCUCUCUGACUACAUGAACCUCGACUUCAGCUCCCCCAAGUCCCCCAAGCCCAGCAUCCAGGGUGCAGACCCCGUGGGCUCCUUGGAUGCCCUCCUGUCUCCUGAGGCCUCCUCCCCGUACCCGCCGCUGCCCCCGCGCCCCGCCGCGCCCACCGCUGCACUGCAGCCACAGCCGCCCCCGCCGCCCCCCCCAGGGGAACUGUACCGCCUGCUCCCCGCCUCCGCUUCCCAGGGCCCCAGCGCUGCCUCUUCUUCGUCCUCGGAGCCCGGGGACAAUGGUGACUACACCGAGAUGGCCUUUGGCGUGGCCGCCACCCCGCCACAACCCAUCGCGGCCCCCCAGAAGCCGGAAAGUGCCCGUGUGACCAGCCCCACGUCCGGCGUGAAGAGGCUGAGUCUCAUGGACCAGGUGUCUGGGGUCGAGGCCUUCCUGCAGGCGAGCCAGCCCCCAGACCCGCACCGGGGGGCCAAGGUCAUCCGUGCAGACCCACAAGGGGGCCGCCGCCGCCACAGCUCCGAGACCUUCUCCUCAACCACUGCUGUGACCCCCGUGUCCCCGUCCUUCGCCCACAACCCGAAGCGCCACAACUCGGCCUCGGUGGAAAACGUCUCUCUCAGGAAAAGCAGCGAAGGGGUUGGCAGCGGCGCCCUGGGUGGGGGUGACGAGCCCCCCACGUCCCCUCGCCAGCUGCAGCCGCCGCCUCCCCAGCAGGCGCGACCGUGGAUUCAGGGCCAGCCUGGCGGCUUGGUGGGCUGCCCUGGGGGCAGCAGCUCUCCAAUGCGCAGGGAGACCUCCGCAGGCUUCCAGAACGGCCUCAACUACAUUGCUAUCGACGUGAGGGACGAGCCGGGUCUGUCAACGCCUCCGCCAGCUCAUCCGCACCCGCCAGCAGGAGACAAGAGCGCCUGGGGCCGGACCCGUAGCCUUGGGGGUCUCAUCAGCGCCGUGGGGGGCAGCAGCGGCGGGGUGUGUGGGGGGCCGGGCCCUGGCGCCCUGCCCUCAGCCAGCACCUAUGCCAGCAUUGACUUCUUGUCCCACCAUCUGAAGGAGGCCACGAUUGUGAAAGGCUACACUUUGGACACGUGGAAAUGCUGCAAGAGAAGCAGGGAAACAGACUUGGAACUGGGAGUAUUGCACCCCAAAGUGCUCUCAGUCUAAGGAGGACAAUGACAGUGACAAUUGGGUGGCCACAAGCAAACUUUGAUGCCUCCUACAUCUACAUCUGACUUCAGAAACAGCUGCUUCUUUUGCAUUAACUUGAUCAUGUGUUUUUAUUGUAAAAAUACAUCUCUUACAGUGUCUGACUAACAUGUGCCUGCUUUGAUCCAUGCAAUACAAGGUGGGAAAUGUACGUAUAGAUACAUCUAUGAAAACUGCACACUCUGAUGUUGUAAGAACACUUCGGCUUUCUCAGGGACAAGUGCACAAACUGAAAGUUACUAAGAUUACAUGUGAGCCUCAAUUCUGCUCGUAUACUCUUAGCUCUGGUCCCUCAGCCAGCUGCCUGGAGGCAGUGGGGAAGUUUAUUGAACACCAGUUCACGACAGGAAUUGCUAGGCUAUGCAGAAAACUCACUCCGCCUUUCCACUCAGAAGACCUAGCACAAACAUCCUGGUCUAGUUGUGAAGAUGGUUGCCUUCAAGGGAUCGAAAAGGCAAGUCACGGUAUGUGCCUGUGUAUUUGAAACACUUCACUGAGAACUUUUCUCCAUUAUUCAUAUUUCAACAAAUGUUUAAUGCAUAUUUCCUCUGCCUCUGGUUAUAUCUGUGUAUCUGUUGACCUCCUCGACAUUCUUCUAGGCGUUGGGGAUAGAGUGGUGAGGAAACCUGAGUCCUUGCAUUCACAGAACUUCUUAAUGAUAAACAAGUUCACAGACACAAAACCUGAGGGGAAGACAAUACAGAGGGCAACACGGAGAGGGUCAGCAUCAGGGCGAACCGCGGGAGGCGUCCUGCGGAAGGACAGUGCGCAGCGGCCGAGGUGCCUGGGGCCAGCGAGCACGGCGUUGCACCACUGCAUGUGGCCAUGGGCUGCGACCCACGUGACCAGGCUGGUCUCUGCUGCAGGACACGAGGGCCGUCUCGUCGCUGGCUGUGCACACAGAGGGUUCUGAUGAAAUCAGUAGUUGAAUGAGUUGGGCUCCAUGCUAUAAGAUCUUGAUGCUGAUGUCCAUCACCCCAUGUUUAAGGUAAUUUUAUGAGUCAGCAUGACCAAACAUUACCAGGCUGUACCUUCUCUUUAUCCACUAACAUAAUUAUUGGUAUCACCUUGUUGUGACUUUGGUCAUCAGGGCCAUCUGCCCAAGAUGACCAUGCUGUCCACAUGAAAGCAAAGCACAGAGAAGUCACGGGGGCUGUUCCUUCAGGGGAGCAGUCACUGACAAGCUGAGGCAAGAGGGGCACACCCAUUCAGAUACCCACGACGGGCUCUCCAGCAAUGCCCGAGGAGGCUCCAAACCAUCCCUCCCAUGUGGCUUUGGAAGGCAGGUGGCAGACCUGGUUUGUAACUGUGUGCCCGGGCCGACUCCCCCUGCAAAGCCCAGGGCCCCAUCACCCUGUGCCGGCAUCACCUGGACGCUGGGAGCUGUCCCUGCAAAGCCCUCAUCCUUGCAGGCAUGUCCACACCCCUCAGACUCCCGGGGUGCUCGGGAGGGAAGCUUUGUGCGGUGACGACCCCGCGGGUGCACUGCCUGCUCCCUGGCCCGGAGUCUCUGGGGAGCUGGUCCCCAGCACCAAAUUCUUCCUCUUGGCUAUGCCCCCUGCUAGGGGAGGCGGACAGGAGGGCCCCCGGGCCCAGCCCUGCCCUGGCCCAUCCACCAAGCUUUCGAGGAUCUGCUGGAGAUGUCAGUGCCCCGCCCUGGCUGGCAGCCCAGCUUUGGGUGACCGCUCUCAAAGCAAACUCCGCCCCUUUCUCCCAUCUGGUCCAUUUUUUGGAAACGUUAUGCAGUCAUGGCUUUCUGCUUUCAUCUCCUCUGCCGGAACCAACACCGCUGACUGGUGGCCAGAGCCACCUUCCCCCAGGGUGGUCCCAGUUCCGUGGCUGGUGCUGGCCCUCAGAGCUGGGCACACCCGCUCCUCUCCUCAGCACUUCCCUGCCGGUCACUGGGUGGGCUGCGAACUCCAUCUGCAGGGAGCAAGCAUCUAACUUGGGCAAUGGUCACACAGAACUGAAGUGGUACCUCUGCACCAGGCUGAUCGCACAGGCCCCCCACCCUGGCCUCACGCCCAGGGUGCCAGACAGCAGCAGCGGGUGGCCUCCUGUGCUCCCCUACAUCCUGGCCCCACUGUAGUGAUGGCGCCUCCACGCUGGCCUCCUCCCAAAGGCUCACUGAACACAGCAGGAGGGAGCCUUUAGCGUGGGGACGUCCUUGCAGCACCCGAGCUUCCGUUCAGAAGCGAAACUGCUCCAUCCCAGUGAGAGGAGGCAUCCAGGUGUGGCUGAAAAUAUGCUCGACCCUGGGAGUGAACGUCUGCACCCAGGGGCAGUGAACAGCCCAGGAGGAGAGUGUGAAUGAAGCCGAGCCUGCAUGGUGACCUGUCUACCUGGUGACUCAGGAAAGAUGAGAGGCCGGUGGCUGGGAGGCUGCACAGGCUGACUUCUUGAGCGGUGCUUCCAUGUGACUGCGUAAGCGUAAGUUCCCCGGGACGGGGUGUCAAACAUCCUCAACUCGCUCAUCCCGGGGGUUCAUCACACUGGACUCCAAGCUUUAUCUUGGGAAAGAAAAUACAACUUUUCAUUAUGUUUCCAUUGCAUUCAAGAUUUGGUAGAAAGGUGGUGAGACUUUUAAUUAUUGAACUGCACCAAAGUGUUCACGUAAGUAAAUUUCAAAAA